This 77-nucleotide transfer RNA is filed under the name Dokdonella sp. Its description in RNAcentral is "tRNA-Arg". It matches the Rfam family "tRNA". Rfam says of the family: Transfer RNA (tRNA) molecules are approximately 80 nucleotides in length. RNAcentral also lists the same sequence under 3 other names. The record is from RNAcentral. Lineage: Bacteria; Pseudomonadati; Pseudomonadota; Gammaproteobacteria; Lysobacterales; Rhodanobacteraceae.
GGCCCCGUAGCUCAGCUGGAUAGAGCGUUCCCCUCCUAAGGGAAAGGUCGCACGUUCGAAUCGUGCCGGGGUCGCCA